CUACCACUGGGCCAUGAAAGCCAGUUCAUCGCCAUGCAAUUGUAGGAUCCCAUCAGGUGCUGGAGAGGAAGGUCUGUGUGUGGCGGUCAAAGGACAGCUUGGGGGAGUUGACUCUCUCGCCCUAUUGUGUAGGUUACAGAGGUCAAAUUUGAGUCUUCAGGCUUGGCAGCAAGCACCCACUGACCCAUUUUGUUGGACCUAGAAUGCUUGGUUUUAAAAAUUGGUGUUGAGUUAUUUACUUGAGGGUCAUAAAAAGUCUCCGAAGAGCUAAGAGUGUAGCUCAGUGGUGCUUGCUUGGCAUGUACAAGGCCCUGAGUUCAAACCCUUCUACCAAAAAAAUAAAUUUAAAAAAGUCA
Molecule: long non-coding RNA, 356 nt
Organism: Arvicola amphibius (Eurasian water vole)
Lineage: Eukaryota; Metazoa; Chordata; Mammalia; Rodentia; Cricetidae
Exons: 2
Source: RefSeq, a predicted model, not a curated record